Molecule: ribosomal RNA, 850 nt
Filed under: uncultured bacterium
Lineage: Bacteria
Description: bacterial SSU rRNA
Rfam family: Bacterial small subunit ribosomal RNA
Source: RNAcentral
UAGCAUACAGGUGUGGGGGAAGUGGCGAAAGGGGCAGUAAGGCGUGGGUAACCUACCCCGGGGAUGGGCAUAGCCGGCCUAACGGCCGGGUAAUUCCCAGCGAUCUGGCGAGGGGGCAUCUCUUUGCCAGGAAACGAGUUUCGCCUCGGGAGGGGCUCACGUGCUAUUAGCUAGUUGGCGGGGUAACGGCCCACCAAGGCUGAGAUGGCUAGCGGGUGUGAGAGCACGACCCGCGCCACUGGCACUGAGACACUGGCCAGACACCUACGGGUGGCUGCAGUCGAGGAUCUUCGUCAAUGGGCGCAAGCCUGAACGAGCGACGCCGCGUGUGCGAUGAAGGCCUUCGGGUUGUAAAGCACUGUCGAGGGGGAGAAAGCCCCGAAAGGGGUUGAUCGAUCCCUGGAGGAAGCACGGGCUAAGUUCGUGCCAGCAGCCGCGGUAAGACGAACCGUGCGAACGUUGUUCGGAAUCACUGGGCUUAAAGGGCGCGUAGGCGGCUCCGCCAGUCGGGGGUGAAAUCCCACGGCCUAACCGUGGAAGUGCCUCCGAUACUGCGGGGCUGGAGGGAGGUAGGGGCAGCGGGAACUUCAGGUGGAGCGGUGAAAUGCGUUGAUAUCCGAAGGAACGCCGGUGGCGAAAGCGCGCUGCUGGACCUCUUCUGACGCUGAGGCGCGAAAGCCAGGGGAGCAAACGGGAUUAGAUACCCCGGUAGUUCCUGGCCCUAAACGAUGGGGGACUAGCUUGCGGCCCGUCAUUGGGGUUCUCAGGCGGAAUCAAAAAGUCCUAAGUCCCCCCCCUUGGGGAGUAAUGGGUCGCAAGGCUGAAACUCAAAAGGAAUUUGACCGGGGGC